Molecule: ribosomal RNA, 420 nt
Filed under: Fusobacteriota bacterium
Lineage: Bacteria; Fusobacteriati; Fusobacteriota
Description: Fusobacteria bacterium partial 16S ribosomal RNA
Rfam family: Bacterial small subunit ribosomal RNA
Source: RNAcentral
UGGGGGAUAUUGCACAAUGGGCGAAAGCCUGAUGCAGCGACGCCGCGUGGGGGAUGAAGGCCUUCGGGUUGUAAACUUCUUUUGCUCUGAACAAGGCAUGCCUUUGGGGUGUGUUGAGUGUAGGGGUUGAUUAGCGCCGGCUAACUACGUGCCAGCAGCCGCGGUAAUACGUAGGGCGCGAGCGUUGUCCGGAAUUAUUGGGCGUAAAGGGCUUGUAGGUGGCUGGUUGCGUCUGUCGUGAAAGCUCAUGGCUUAACUGUGGGUUUGCGGUGGGUACGGGCUGGCUUGAGUGCAGUAGGGGAGGCUGGAAUUCCUGGUGUAGCGGUGGAAUGCGCAGAUAUCAGGAGGAAUACCGGUGGCGCAGGCGGGUCUCUGGGCUGUUACUGACGCCGAGGAGCGAAAGCGUGGGGAGCGAACAGG